ACAGUCAUGGCCUACUGGUUAGGGCUUCAGGCUUGUAACCGGAGGGUUGCCGGUUCGAUCCCCGACCAGUAGGA
This 74-nucleotide transfer RNA is filed under the name Alosa alosa (allis shad). Its description in RNAcentral is "tRNA-OTHER". Lineage: Eukaryota; Metazoa; Chordata; Actinopteri; Clupeiformes; Clupeidae. The record is from RNAcentral.